Molecule: ribosomal RNA, 434 nt
Filed under: Leclercia sp. BRM 033280
Lineage: Bacteria; Pseudomonadati; Pseudomonadota; Gammaproteobacteria; Enterobacterales; Enterobacteriaceae
Description: bacterial SSU rRNA
Rfam family: Bacterial small subunit ribosomal RNA
Source: RNAcentral
AACGCGAAGAACCUUACCUACUCUUGACAUCCAGAGAACUUUCCAGAGAUGGAUUGGUGCCUUCGGGAACUCUGAGACAGGUGCUGCAUGGCUGUCGUCAGCUCGUGUUGUGAAAUGUUGGGUUAAGUCCCGCAACGAGCGCAACCCUUAUCCUUUGUUGCCAGCGGUUCGGCCGGGAACUCAAAGGAGACUGCCAGUGAUAAACUGGAGGAAGGUGGGGAUGACGUCAAGUCAUCAUGGCCCUUACGAGUAGGGCUACACACGUGCUACAAUGGCGCAUACAAAGAGAAGCGACCUCGCGAGAGCAAGCGGACCUCAUAAAGUGCGUCGUAGUCCGGAUUGGAGUCUGCAACUCGACUCCAUGAAGUCGGAAUCGCUAGUAAUCGUAGAUCAGAAUGCUACGGUGAAUACGUUCCCGGGUCUUGUACACACCG